AUUGAACGCUGGCGGCAGGCCUAACACAUGCAAGUCGAACGGUAACAGGAAACAGCUUGCUGUUUCGCUGACGAGUGGCGGACGGGUGAGUAAUGUCUGGGAAACUGCCUGAUGGAGGGGGAUAACUACGGGAAACGGUAGCUAAUACCGCAUAACGUCGCAAGACCAAAGAGGGGGACCUUCGGGCCUCUGGCCAUCGGAUGUUCCCGGAUGGGAGUAGCAAGUAGGUGGGGUAACGGCUCACCUAGGCGACGAUCCCUAGCUGGUCUGAGAGGAUGACCAGCCACACUGGAACUGAGACACGGUCCAGACUCCUACGGGAGGCAGCAGUGGGGAAUAUUGCACAAUGGGCGCAAGCCUGAUGCAGCCAUGCCGCGUGUAUGAAGAAGGCCUUCGGGUUGUAAAGUACUUUCAGCGGGGAGGAAGGGAGUAAAGUUAAUACCUUUGCUCAUUGACGUUACCCGCAGAAGAAGCACCGGCUAACUCCGUGCCAGCCGCCGCAGUAA
This 506-nucleotide ribosomal RNA is filed under the name uncultured bacterium. Its description in RNAcentral is "partial 16S ribosomal RNA". It matches the Rfam family "Bacterial small subunit ribosomal RNA", at positions 30 to 523 of the family's 1533-position model. The record is from RNAcentral.